This 26-nucleotide non-coding RNA is filed under the name Rattus norvegicus (Norway rat). The record is from RNAcentral. Lineage: Eukaryota; Metazoa; Chordata; Mammalia; Rodentia; Muridae.
GUCCUACACACCUCCUCAAGGACCCC